Chelonoidis abingdonii (Abingdon island giant tortoise) is the source of this 830-nucleotide non-coding RNA. NCBI's taxonomy places the organism in Eukaryota, Metazoa, Chordata, Testudines, Testudinidae. The record is from RefSeq and is a predicted model, not a curated record.
CUCGCUUGUCACAGCUUGAGCCGGGGCUGCCUCCAGCUCCCCUCCCUCCAAGUCACAACCCCCAGCAUCCCCUCCCCUUGGAGCUGCUCUCGGCAGGGCAACAAGCUCUCAGGCUGUUGCCUUGAGCUCCCUCCUCCUCCCCCUCCAGCAGCAGCCGCCAUACUGCGGGGCAACCCAAACUUGUUACACACUGGCACCAACUCCUCCUCCUGCUGCUGCCCCCUGUUGCAGGCGCCUCGGCAGCUGCACGCAGAGCAGCGGGAGGCGGCCCUGGGAAGCGGAGGAGUUGCAGCCUUGCAGUUUAAAUUACUAAGACAAAACGGAAGAAUGCUCUCAAGAGGCAGAUUAGUUGCUGAGAAACACUGUGGAAAGUGUGAACAAUUGCUGUAUUCUGUGACCUGGAAAAUGUGUAUUACCUUGGAGAAGUAAUCUAUUGGAUGCAUAGGCUUGGGAACGUCUUUCCAACCUGUUUAUUGCAACGUUAAGUUCGGCAGUGUCUACCCUAUAACAUACUAUUUGGAACUGGAGAUUUCUUCUGCAAAAGGAACAUUAGGUUGCAGUUAUCCUCCAACUUCCAUACAGCAAGGACUCCUAUCAUGGCUCUCUCUGGUUUGUAUGCAGCUUUGGGUUUUUUGUUUGGAGCAGCAGCAGCAUUUGGUCCAGUACCAAGAAUCACUUGGGAACAUAGAGAAGUACAACUGGUCCAUUUUCAGGAGCCAGAAGUGUUUAACUAUUCAACUUUAUUACUAAGUGAUGACAAAGAUGUUUUAUAUGUAGGAGCUAGAGAAGUGAUCUUUGCAUUAAAUUCAGUGAAUAUUGCUGAAAAACAC